CCCAAAUACAUUUUAUCAUAACCUCCAUUAAACUGAUUGUCAUAUAGCCUUCUGAAAAAAAUUAUACUUCAUUAGAGCACUUCUUAAAAAUGCAACGCAUUAACAGAACCCUACUUUCAGCACCGAAAGCCUUCAAAAUCAUCCAGAGAACCUGCACCAAAAACCCUCCGAGCCAGGAACCUCCACAGGAAUCCAAUAUUCCUAAAGAACCUCAAGCACCUCCACAAAAAAAGGAAGACCCACUCUUAAAAGCGGCGAAAACCAAAUACGCUAAAAUCGAUGGACCUGUUUUUGUUGCGGCACAUGUUGGAGAAGGUUUUACCAGGGCUGCAGUGAUCUGUUCCAAAGGAAAGAUUAUGGGGAUCGCACUUAGGCCCUGUAAGCUGUAUGAAAAAGGGAUAUUUUGUGAAAUGUCUUCUGAGGAGGUGUGGAAUAGCUUGAAGACUUGCAUUAAGAAAGCUGUAUCACUAACUAAAGGUAAGGAUAUUAAAGGAAUUGGAUUUACUGCUUUGCCUGCCUUGGUAACUCUUGAUAAAGAUGCCAAACCACUAACUGCCAGUACUAGUCGCAAUCCGAACAUAAACGUAAUUAUCCAUUUUGAUAAACGUUCAUGUUUGGAAGCCCUUAAAAUUGCCAAAACUAGACACUCCCUUUUACGGUACCUUGGCGAUAAUAUUCAUGCCGAUAUUUACGAAACAAAGCUGCUUUGGCUGAAAAAUAACUUGAGGGAAGAAUGCUGGGAUAAAGUGGGACAUUUUUUCAGCUUAACAGAUUUUUUGACUUGGAAAGCCACUGGGUCGCUUGUCAGAUCUUCUAGUACCCUACGGUCUCUUUGGAGCUACGAAAUUACUGCUAAUGGCAAAGAAGGCUGGAACGCCCAGUAUUUCACCGAAAUAGGUAUUCCAGAGGUGGCAGAUGAUAAUUUUAAAAUGAUCGGUAGUCAAAUUCAGCGACCAGGAACCCCAAUAGAAAACGGCCUAUCGGAAAACCUGGCUAUUGAGUUAGGCUUACCACCACACUUACCGGUUCCAAGUGGUCUUCCCGAUAUGUAUGCCGGAUGUUUAGGUAUCAUCGGGUGUAAUGUUAAAGAAAUUACCGACGAUGUCACACGAAGACUUUGUAUCGUCUAUGACAUGAAAUCAGCCUCCCAGUUUGUGGUGUCUCACGAGCCCCAUUUUAUAACAGGGGUUCGUGGUCCCUUUUUAGACUGCGUGCUCCCUAACAAGUGGCUAAACCACGCCGGGCAAACUACCGCCGAGAGCAUUUUAGAAUACAUCAUAGACACGCAUCCUGCCUCAGCGGAAAUAAGGAAACAAAUAGCCGAAAUGCAUAUUCAUAAAUACUUGAAUAAAAUCCUAAAGACAAUUGCACAAAAAAAGAAUUUAACCGCAAGAACGUUCCUUACGAGAUAUGUACACGUUUUGCCAGAUAUUAAUGGAAAUCAUAGUCCUUUAGCUGACCCAUAUAUUAGGGGGAUGAUUUCUGGUCUAACGGGAUCUUACAGUCAAGAAUCUUUGGCUAUUUUAUACCUCGCUGCAAUGCAAUCUAUAGCGCUCGAAGCAUAUUAUAAGCACAAUGACGCAGAACGGUCAUGAUAUUAGAAGCGUUAUUAUUGGCGGCCAUAUGGGGAAAAAUUCCCUAUUUGCAUCAAUACAUAGAGACAUCACCAGGUUACCAGUUGUGAUACCCGAUGAGCCCAAAUGUAAACUCAUGGGAGCAGCAAUUUUGGCUGGUAUUGCUUCUCAAUACUUCCGAGACUUCGACCACGCGAUGCAAGAGAUGUGCGGAAGUGGGCAAGUGCUACUCCCAGAUGAUGAUAGCGAACUAAUCGAAUAUCACGAGAAGAAGUACCAAGUUUUUUUAAAAAUGUAUGAUCACCAGCUGGAGUACAGGAGGAUCAUGGGAGACGUUAAAGAAGAGACUGUCCACGUUUUUCAUGAAGCAUAAUAAAUUAUUUUUCAAAUUAAACUUA
This 1972-nucleotide unclassified non-coding RNA is filed under the name Anthonomus grandis grandis. RNAcentral's name for it is "fGGY carbohydrate kinase domain-containing protein- like". Lineage: Eukaryota; Metazoa; Arthropoda; Insecta; Coleoptera; Curculionidae. The record is from RNAcentral.